Non-coding RNA from Nothobranchius furzeri (turquoise killifish), 2595 nucleotides. NCBI's taxonomy places the organism in Eukaryota, Metazoa, Chordata, Actinopteri, Cyprinodontiformes, Nothobranchiidae. The record is from RefSeq and is a predicted model, not a curated record.
UUGUUUUAAUUUUUGUUUUGUCAUUUGUUAUUUGUUUUUUAAUCGUUUUUGGUUUGUUUGUUUAUUGGUUUGUUUGUUUGUUAUUAAAUUAAAAUAUGCCCUGACAAGUGGUUGACUGCUGGUCCAAGCAAAGUUUGAAUUUUAGAAACAAUAAUUUAUUUUAACCAAAACAUUAGCAAUUUAACGGUUAUUUUUAAACUUGUUUUAAGCAGUUUAAACGUUGACUUGACCUUUUCCGCUGGAAACAAAAGCAUAAAGUUACAGCAAUUCGCCACCUUAUGGUGGACGAGUGUGUCGCAGACCAUUUUUACGUGCUACACUUAAACGUGUCAAUCUCAGAAGUUCAGAUCGGGCCUGGUGGAAAUCAUCAGCCACAGGGUCAAACCAACAAUCCAACCUGAGUUGGCUCUGCGCAAAUUUUACUAAAAUAAUCCAAACUGUAAUAUUAUUAAUAAUAAUGGUAAUAUUCUUGGAACGUAUUUAUUUAUUUUUAUUGUUUUGGGGCAUUAUGUGCAUUUUGAUUUUAUUAUGUUUAGUGUUUUUAUGUCUUAUAAUAUCCAUUUUUAGUAUGGUCUGAUUGUUGACUCUAAUUUUAAUGUACAUGGGCUAUGAUUUUAUCACGUAUUGCACUUUAAGCAGCCUUGGCUGGUGGCAUUAAGGUGCUUUAUAAAUAAAUAAAUGAAAUGCAGUUGUUUUUAUUUUCACACCUUUUAGAGUGUAUUUCUUUCAUUUCAAGCACGUUGGCCGAAAUAAAUAGUAGAACUGCAAUCCAAAAAUAAUAUCCAAAUCCAAUAAUAUCCAAAACAAUCCAAAAAUAAACAGGUUUCAUACAGAUUGUUGGUAGAUAUUGUUUGAAUAAUUAGGCUAAUACAUAUUUUACAGCCUAUUCAUUUUCUUAGUUUAUUUUGACAGCAUAUCUCCAGCAGAUCGGUGCUUUCAUUCUAGAGUUGACAAACUGAUCGUUUUUGCGCUACAGCGGAAGGCGCAAAAGACUCGCUGUCAUUUGCGUAGGAAUCCCAGUGAGUAGACUUGUUGCGAGCCAUAAGGCGGCGGCAGCAGCGUCCCGGAGCUGUCAAACACUGCGCACGGGCUCCGGUCGGCCGUCAGAGGAGAGAGGUGAGCGGACUAAUCCAUCAGACAAACAAGUCUGGAGAUGAACCUUUUUCUGCCCUCCAGAAACUAGUUUUUUCCUCCGCCACCGGAAGCUCGCCAGAACAUUUUGCUCAUUUUGUCACAUGGCUUUCGGUAGAAUUCAAUAACAACAAAAAAUGGCGACACUCACGUUGCUCUGUGUGGUCUUGCUGCGUCAUUAAAAAUAUUCAUGUAAACACGGGGACGGAAAGGGGACAGACGCAGUGCAGAGGGCGGACUCGGAGAGGAGGAGGAGUCGUUACGUCAGCCAGUGACGCGCACAGACCGCUCCACAGGAGAGAGAGAGCGAGGGGGAGGAGCUCCAGACCUGAACCAUAACAAGUCUGACAUCACUCAGCCUUGUGGUAUGAAAAUAAUAUAAAAGUUUGUCUCAACAGAUCCCCAGGAACAAGGAUGGAGAAAGAAAAGAAAAGCACCAGUGGACCAUUAACAAGCGUUUAUGUGCAGCUAUGACGGGACAAAAUGUUUUAUAUUUAAAUAAAUCAAGAAACCAACUCCAACAUGAAACUUUAGCAUUGUUGUCCUCCUCCUAACCAGAUUUUCAGUAAUUAAUAGCACACUGUUUAUACUUUUGUUACCUGAAUUGACCUUUCGCUGUGCAUUUGUAUUACCUACUUGUGAUUGUUAGGAUGUUGCAAACCCAAAAUUAUUUUGAGCAAUUAAAAUAAAAAAUUAUAUUUCAUAUUAAAAUAUUAAUGGUCAGACAAAUGAAUUCCAUGAAACAUAGCAGGUAAACAUAAUGAAAUAUAGUGGAAGAUUCCAGUCUCCAUACACAAAAAUAUAGAUUUACUUUCCACCUAAUGUUUUAAUGUUACAUUCAGACUAAUCCUUAUGGUAUAAUAAACAAAAGAUUGCCCUUUAAAGAACAGAAAUUGACCACUAAAACAACAGUUUACUUGAGGAUUAACUGACCUGCAUGCAAGCACUAAAGUCUCAGAUUUUUUAGCUACUUUUUUCUACUUUUUGCGGGCAAAAUUAGACCAGUGAGGAUUUUUCUGUAGACAUAAAUUUCUUUUUCUCCCCCUGCUUUAUUAUUUUGUUUUCCCUAUAAUUGUAUCUCCUUUUAAAACUACGAAUGUCCUUUAAUUUAUUCAAAUUAGGCAUUUUUGAAUUGAAUGACUUCAUGAUUGCACUCAUUUUGCUACAAAUGGUGAGAAAUUACAUCAUCUCCAUGCAACUUGUUGACCCUCCGUUUGAACACCAAGAGUCGAUGGCAGAUGGAGUGAAUCUGCAGUCUGCUAGAUUUGACUGGCUGCCCUGGUUCAGUUAUCACAGUGCUGAUGCUGUCCCCAUCGAAGGUACAGUACUGUGAUAACUGAAGGAUGGCUGCCACCUUGACGCUGAUGCAGAGGUCAGCUGACCAGAGGGCUGAUGAACAAACGGGAGACGCAAGUGUGUUAGUAAGUCGUCGUUUUCCAGUGCAGAAUAAAGGUUUCAACUAGA